This is a long non-coding RNA of Capra hircus (goat), 267 nucleotides long. RefSeq lists it as uncharacterized. Lineage: Eukaryota; Metazoa; Chordata; Mammalia; Artiodactyla; Bovidae. The transcript has 3 exons. The record is from RefSeq and is a predicted model, not a curated record.
GGACAUGCUGUGUUUUAUCUGGAAACCUAACCAUGGAAGAGAAUGAAGCUUGCAUGGAGACAGAGUUCUCCUUUGAGGGGAGUAGCGAACUGUGGGAAGUCUUUGGAAGAAGUAGAACAUUGAUGGGAAUUCAGAGGCGAAGCUUCCCAUGAGCCCCUGGGAAGCCGGAAGCAGGCACAGGUCUCCUUCCUGGAUGCUGGGGCUUUCCAUCUGGCUCAGUGGUAAAGAACCCGAGUACCAGUGAAGAACAUGCAGGAGAUGCGGGUU